RNAcentral lists this unclassified non-coding RNA (209 nucleotides) under Aureobasidium pullulans. Its description in RNAcentral is "sequence contains ITS1". The stretch from base 158 to 209 matches the Rfam family "5.8S ribosomal RNA", at positions 1 to 51 of the family's 154-position model. The record is from RNAcentral. Lineage: Eukaryota; Fungi; Ascomycota; Dothideomycetes; Dothideales; Saccotheciaceae.
GACCUCCAACCCUUUGUUGUUAAAACUACCUUGUUGCUUUGGCGGGACCGCUCGGUCUCGAGCCGCUGGGGAUUCGUCCCAGGCGAGCGCCCGCCAGAGUUAAACCAAACUCUUGUUAUUUAACCGGUCGUCUGAGUUAAAAUUUUGAAUAAAUCAAAACUUUCAACAACGGAUCUCUUGGUUCUCGCAUCGAUGAAGAAACGCAGCGA